GAGCGAAGUUUUGCAGCGCGGAGCUGCCGCCCUGCGCGGGCGCCUCUCCCGGCUGCGCUCCGAGGGACGCGCCUAAGAUGAGCGGCUGUCGGAAGCGCUGCAAGCGGGAAAUACUGAAAUUUGCCCAGUACCUGCUCAGGCUGAUCACGGGGUCCCUGCACACAGACACUGUAGAAGAUGAAA
This is a long non-coding RNA of Nothoprocta perdicaria, 183 nucleotides long. RefSeq lists it as uncharacterized. The record is from RefSeq and is a predicted model, not a curated record. Lineage: Eukaryota; Metazoa; Chordata; Aves; Tinamiformes; Tinamidae. The transcript is spliced from 4 exons.